AGAGUUUGAUCAUGGCUCAGGAUGAACGCUGGCGGCGUGCCUAAUACAUGCAAGUCGAACGAGGUGCUUUUGUAGCAAUACGAGAGUAUCCUAGUGGCGAACGGGUGAGUAACGCGUUGGUGACCUACCCCAAAGUGUGGGAUAACAGUCCGAAAGGAUUGCUAAUACCGCAUGUGGUCAUUGGAUUUAGAAACUGAUGACUAAAGGAGCAAUUCGCUUUGGGAGGGACCUGCGUCCCAUCAGCUAGUUGGUGAGGUAACGGCUCACCAAGGCGACGACGGGUAGGGGACCUGAGAGGGUGACCCCCCACAAUGGAACUGAAACACGGUCCAUACACCUACGGGUGGCAGCAGUAGGGAAUAUUGCACAAUGGGCGAAAGCCUGAUGCAGCAACGCCGCGUGUGUGAUGAAGGCCUUCGGGUCGUAAAGCACUUUUCUGGGAGAUGAGAAAGGACAGUAUCCCAGGAAUAAGUCUCGGCUAACUACGUGCCAGCCGCCGCGGUAAUAC
RNAcentral lists this ribosomal RNA (508 nucleotides) under uncultured bacterium. RNAcentral describes it as "bacterial SSU rRNA". It matches the Rfam family "Bacterial small subunit ribosomal RNA", at positions 8 to 526 of the family's 1533-position model. The record is from RNAcentral.